This 817-nucleotide ribosomal RNA is filed under the name uncultured marine bacterium. Its description in RNAcentral is "bacterial SSU rRNA". It matches the Rfam family "Bacterial small subunit ribosomal RNA", at positions 56 to 922 of the family's 1533-position model. The record is from RNAcentral.
UGCAGUCGAACGAAGUAGCAAUACUUAGUGGCUGACGGGUGAGUAACAUGUAGGUAUCUGCCCUUUGGCCUGGAAUAACACGAGGAAACUUGUGCUAAUACCGGAUAAGUCUUUACGGAGAAAGCUUUAUGCACCAUUGGAUGAGCCUGCACUUGAUUAGUUUGUUGGUGGGGUAAUGGCCUACCAAGACUGUGAUUAAUAGCUGAUUUGAGAGGAUGAUCAGCCACAUUGGGACUGAGACACGGCCCAAACUCCUACGGGAGGCAGCAGUGGGGAAUCUUGCACAAUGGAGGAAACUCUGAUGCAGCGAUGCCGCGUGAGUGAAGAAGGCCCUUGGGUUGUAAAGCUCUUUCGUCGGGGAAGAAAAUGACUGUACCCGAAUAAGAGGGUCCGGCUAACUUCGUGCCAGCAGCCGCGGUAAUACGAGGGGACCUAGCGUAGCUCGGUAUUACUGGGCUUAAAGAGUUCGUAGGUGGUUGAAAAAGUUAGUGGUGAAAUCCCAGAGCUUAACUCUGGAACUGCCAUUAAAACUUUUCAGCUAGAGUAUGAUAGAGGAAAGCAGAAUUUCUAGUGUAGAGGUGAAAUUCGUAGAUAUUAGAAAGAAUACCAAUUGCGAAGGCAGCUUUCUGGAUCAUUACUGACACUGAGGAACGAAAGCAUGGGUAGCGAAGAGGAUUAGAUACCCUCGUAGUCCAUGCCGUAAACGAUGCGUGUUAGACGUUGGAAAUUUAUUUUCAGUGUCGCAGGGAAACCGAUAAACACACCGCCUGGGGAGUACGACCGCAAGGUUAAAACUCAAAUGAAUUGACGGGGACCC